GGGGACGAUCGGUCUCGACGUGGGUUGCGAAGUCUUCAGGGCAUGCCGAGGUGCAGAGCUCCUCGUAAAUCCAACUGCAAAAACUAUAGUUGCCAACGACGACAACUACGCCUUAGCGGCCUAAACCCCGCUAACCGUUUCCCCCGUUCUUUCUGCGGGUGGGGAUGAAACGGUCAUAUACGCAGGAUCGUGACGAGAUGUGCCUGUUAUCCCGUCAUUAAACUCAAGCAGGCUCAGCUUGCGUCCAUCCUGUCUGUCGGAGGGUCGCAGGUGAAGUCAUAGACAAGACUACGCAUGUAGAACUGACUGGCCAAGGGCUUGCGGACGCGGGUUCGAUUCCCGCCGUCUCCACCA
Molecule: transfer-messenger RNA, 354 nt
Filed under: Acidiferrobacteraceae
Lineage: Bacteria; Pseudomonadati; Pseudomonadota; Gammaproteobacteria; Acidiferrobacterales
Also listed under: 1 other name
Description: JAJYDN01 sp021795715 Standard tmRNA
Rfam family: transfer-messenger RNA
About the family: Bacterial tmRNA, also known as 10Sa RNA or SsrA, is named for its dual tRNA and mRNA-like properties.
Source: RNAcentral